UCCUACGGGAGGCAGCAGUGAGGAAUUUUGCGCAAUGGGGGAAACCCUGACGCAGCAACGCCGCGUGAGUGAUGAAGGCUUUCGGGUCGUAAAGCUCUGUCAAGUGAGAAGAACCUGCCCUUUGCUAAUAUCAUUGGGCACUGACGGUAUCACUGAAGGAAGCACCGGCUAACUCCGUGCCAGCAGCCGCGGUAAUACGGAGGGUGCAAGCGCUAUUCGGAAUCACUGGGCGUAAAGAGCGCGUAGGCGGUUUCUAAAGUCAGAUGUGAAAGCCCGGGGCUCAACCCCGGAAGUGCAUUUGAAACUUAGGGACUUGAGUAUGGGAGAGGGAAGUGGAAUUCCUGGUGUAGCGGUGAAAUGCGUAGAUAUCAGGAGGAACACCGGUGGCGAAGGCGACUUCCUGGACCAAUACUGACGCUGAGGCGCGAAAGCGUGGGGAGCAAACAGGAUUAGAUACCCUGGUAGUCCACGCAGUAAACGUUGAACACUAGGUGUAGCGGGUAUUGACCCCUGCUGUGCCGCAGCUAACGCAUUAAGUGUUCCGCCUGGGGAGUACGGCCGCAAGGCUAAAACUCAAAUGAAUUGACGG
RNAcentral lists this ribosomal RNA (589 nucleotides) under uncultured bacterium. RNAcentral's name for it is "bacterial SSU rRNA". It matches the Rfam family "Bacterial small subunit ribosomal RNA", at positions 337 to 916 of the family's 1533-position model. The record is from RNAcentral.